Molecule: non-coding RNA, 23 nt
Filed under: Xenopus tropicalis (tropical clawed frog)
Lineage: Eukaryota; Metazoa; Chordata; Amphibia; Anura; Pipidae
Also listed under: 35 other names
Source: RNAcentral
AGGCAGUGUAGUUAGCUGAUUGC